GUGAGCCUACGGCAGGAGCUACACCGAGGCAGCUGCAGUCCCACGGCUUUUCCUUGCUCAGCCAGCCUGGAGCCCUGUAGCAAUGCCAGGGUAACCAAAGUAGGAGAAAAAGAAGAAGAGUUGCACCACUAUUUUCAAAAGCUCAGCAAUCAUGAUGUUUAGCGAACACCUCCUGUUGUUACUGCUGUGGCAACAGGCUAAGAGCAUGCCUCUGUAAGACAUCGUCCCGAGCAACUGUGUACGCAUUGUCUCUUCUUAUGUGCCUGAAAGUACACAAGAUUAAUGGCGCUCUGCUUAUGUCUGCAGGGAUACGCGUUUUACAGAUGAGGAAAUUUGCGGUGCUAAGAAAUAGAAGCAACGUGCCCAAGGUCACAGGAUGGUUAACGGAACAGAGGGCGGUCUGCAGCUGUAGGGCGUUGCACCU
Long non-coding RNA from Pteronotus mesoamericanus, 424 nucleotides. RefSeq lists it as uncharacterized. The transcript is spliced from 3 exons. Lineage: Eukaryota; Metazoa; Chordata; Mammalia; Chiroptera; Mormoopidae. The record is from RefSeq and is a predicted model, not a curated record.